This 253-nucleotide ribosomal RNA is filed under the name uncultured bacterium. Its description in RNAcentral is "partial 16S ribosomal RNA". It matches the Rfam family "Bacterial small subunit ribosomal RNA", at positions 524 to 776 of the family's 1533-position model. The record is from RNAcentral.
UACAGAGGGUGCAAGCGUUGUUCGGAAUUACUGGGCGUAAAGCGCGUGUAGGCGGCGGCGUAAGUCGAAUGUGAAAGCCCUUGGCUUAACCAAGGAAGUGCAUUCGAUACUGUGUCGCUUGAGGACUGGAGAGGAGACUGGAAUUUACGGUGUAGCGGUGAAAUGCGUAGAUAUCGUAAGGAAGACCAGUGGCGAAGGCGGGUCUCUGGACAGUUCCUGACGCUGAGGCACGAAGGUCAGGGGAGCAAACGGG